This 2014-nucleotide long non-coding RNA is filed under the name Mytilus galloprovincialis (Mediterranean mussel). The record is from RNAcentral. Lineage: Eukaryota; Metazoa; Mollusca; Bivalvia; Mytilida; Mytilidae.
AUAUAUAGGUAUAAAAAGAUAAAAGAUUCCUAGCUAUAAAAUAGUUUUGUAAAAUAUAAGAAAAAAGAUUGCAGAUUACUGCAGUUUAUGUAUUAAAAAAGAAUGACAUAAUACCAUGACAUUGAUUAUUGUGAUUUGAAAUUGAUGUAUUAAGGGAAUGGCUAAAUAAUUACAAAAAUAAGGUCCAUUUGUGUGUAAAAUUUCUGUAAAAAUACUGACAUUAUUUUCAAAUUUGUUUAAAAAGUGCAUUAAAGAUAUCAUAGAUAGUUUUGUUUGGUUAUGAAAGGUGCAGAAGAAAAUCUAGUCUAGUGUUUAAAUUGAGAUUCAUCAUAAUAAGUAUUAAAUGUCAUCAAUUGGAGACUCCAAAUAUUAUUUUAUUUUCAAUAUGGGGAGGUCAAACCCCAAGAUUAUUCCUCCUUUCAUCAUUACUUCAUUUAUCUUUUAUGUAUUUAUUUGUCCUGUGGAAAUUGACAAAUUAUUGUCAAUACAUGUACAUUGUUUGCACAAUACAUAAGCUACCUAAUAUGUUUUAUCACAUGAUUGCACUACCAAAGAGAUCUGAAAAAUUGACACAGUAUGUUAUAAAUAAGCAUCCCAAGAAUUUUCUAUCAGUGAUUAGAAAUUUGUUAUGAAUUAACUUUUUUUCAUAAUUUAAAUAACUUGUCAGCAUUAAAAUUUAAAAUGAAUAUUAUUCAAAGAAUAACUAAAUGUUUUUUCUAUGAAGAAAUAACAUAAAAAAAUGUGCACACGACAUAACUUGUGUAGCAGGUUAUUUAUAACUGUGCACCACAAUUUUUAGGUUACUUCCAAAAGACAGAAAAAUCAUUACAGUCAUUCCUUAUAUUUUAAUUCCAAAAAUUUGUAAAUCAUGAUAAAAACGUUGACUAAGGUCACGUGACAAAAUUAUGUCCAUGAGCUGAUAGACAAAACACUUUCAGCCAAUCAGACAUGUUACAUCCAAAACUACAUUAUUGUGUUAAAUCCAGCCUUUGAGGUUAUGUAUGAUUCUAUAUAAGCCCAUUGAUAAAAAAUAUUCACCAUUCUUUCAAAAUUGUCUAGGAAAAUUAAUAAGACUGAGCUCAUUUUCUUGUUGCAUCAAUUCAUGAAUACUUGAAGACCCAUUAGUGGCCUUGGGCUUUUUUCUGCUCUUUGAUCAGGCUGUAGUCUCUUUGAAACAUUCCCUAUUUCCCAUUUUCAAUUUUAUUUAUUUAUUUAAAUUGAGUCUGAUGAAUAAUUUAAAAUUGUUGAAAAUUUUGAUUACAGGUUAAGAACAGAAAUAUUUUAUUAUUAACAUAUUGUACUAUAAGAAGGAAAGUAUCCAAUGUGUACCAGUAAUGAGUUAAAUACAAUUAAGUCUUAUCGUAUAAAUUUAUUUUUAAAUACAACAUGAACUGGUACUCAGUAAUUUAGGCCACAAAUUCUUUUUUCUUGCAUAUUUUAUUUUUAAAUACAUGCAAUGUAAUGAUGGUUACUUCACAUCAUAACUAAAAUAUCUCAUUUAGUAACAAAAUGUAUACAAUUUACUUGAGUUUACAUGUGAAAACUUUUUGCAUAACGAUUUUCUACUUGCAAAUCAGACCUAACACACAUAUUAUACAUAUAAUGCAUUUGAAAUGGCCAAUAGUAAUGAUUGUUUGUGUUAGAGUUAUUUUUAAAUAUUUUUUUCUUUGGCAAUCUAGAGACAUUCCAACUUCAAGCACCCACUACAUGUGAAUUAUAUGCAUGUCUAGUAAUAUGUCACACAAGUAAAGCAUAAAAGUAAUAUAGAAAUUAUCAAAUUCUCUAUCUACAGAAUAAAGUGUUGAAAAAGUUCAUGACAAUUGUUAUAAAUUACAGGUACAUGGAUGAUGAAUUGUGCUGUGACAAGACUUUUUCUGAAGGUUGUAUACAGUGGUAUUAAAGUAUUUGUAUUCGUUAUAUUCAAAAAUGUACAAAUUAUUGUUGAUUAUAUGCUAGUUGAGAACAAUAAAAAGAAAUAUGUAUACCAGUAUUUGCUGUAAUACAUAUAAAAAAA